UACGAAGGGGGCGAGCGUUGUUCGGAAUUACUGGGCGUAAAGGGCGCGCAGGCGGCCUUAGAAGUCAGAUGUGAAAGCCCCGGGCUCAACCUGGGAAUGGCAUUUGAUACUCUGAGGCUGGAGUACGGGAGAGGAGAGUGGAAUUCCCAGUGUAGAGGUGAAAUUCGUAGAUAUUGGGAGGAACACCGGUGGCGAAGGCGGUUCUCUGGGCCUGUCCUGACGCUGAGGAGCGAAAGUGUGGGGAGCGAACAGG
This 253-nucleotide ribosomal RNA is filed under the name uncultured bacterium. RNAcentral's name for it is "partial 16S ribosomal RNA". It matches the Rfam family "Bacterial small subunit ribosomal RNA", at positions 524 to 776 of the family's 1533-position model. The record is from RNAcentral.